UUAUGAAUAAUAACUACCUUAUUUAAUAUUUAAUUUUCGCAGCUAUAUUAUUCUAAAAUUACAUUUCAUAACUACCUAACUAUAUUUCAAUUACUGUGUUUCUUCAUCUCCUAAAUAAACGGUCCAUUAGCUAUUCUAUCCCUAAAUACACGGUCCAUGAGAUCUCACCCCUCUCUUUAUCUCUCUCACCCUUCUCUUUCUCUCUCUCUGCUACCUAUCUCACUCUCAGAUCUGUUUUAACAGAGGGAGUAUUAUAAACAGCUUAUUUGGCAUUUGAUAUGCAGAAAUUAAAGUUCAGCUCCUUUUGAAGGGCAAUCCGUUUCUUCAUUGUUGUUACAAAUCGUUCAAAGGGUUUUUAUUUUUUUUUUCUUUUCUUUUUUUAAUGCUUCCGCCUGAGCAUUGAAUGCUGCCGGUGGAGUUGGUGGAAGUGGUGUUGGUGCCUAGUGAGUAUAAAUGGUGGCUUGAAAGAGGCGAUGAUGAUUUUGUAAAAUAUUGCUAAUUCCCUUCUCUCACUGAUAACGGCGCUAUUCUACUGCCCCUUCGGUAUGAAUACAACGCAUACUCCACCUCCGAUGAGAGUUGUGGAGCUUCAUGCCCACCAAUUGUUUGAUAAAAUAUUUCAGUAUAUUUCAAUAUAUUUCAGUGUACUGUUUCAGUAUUUUCUGAUAUAUUUCAUUGUAUUCCAUUGUAUAGACGCAUACUACAAUUUUAUAUUUCUUAAACAAUCAACCAUAUUUCAUUGUAUUCCAGUGUAUAUUUUUCUGUAUGUGGAAGUAUUUCUAAAAGUUUGGAAUGGAGUAAUUUGGAGAGAGAAACGUGGUUGUCGUGAUUGUUGUUGGUGGUGGAGGAAGUGGCAACAAGAAAAGCAGUGGAGGAUCUCCAGCCAACGGCCGAAGCUCAGCCAUAACAAUUCGUCUGUUAAAUCUCCAUGGAUGGGCCAAAAGAAGAGGAAAAUCCUUCUUAUGUUUGCUGAUCAUGUGGUGUUGUUUAUCUUAUGAGUGAUGAAGAAUAGUAUUGAUUAUAUCAAUAUGAUAUUCUAGCAUCGUCUAGGAGCAAGAGAAUAGGUUAUUGGUGUAGAAACACCAUUGAUGAGAGUUGUGGAGCUUCAUGCCCACCAAGUGUUUGAUAAAAUGUUUCAGUAUAUUUCAGUGUAUUUCUGUGUAUUAACAAACAAUAUAUUUAAUUUCAAAGAUAUUUCAGUG
Molecule: long non-coding RNA, 1202 nt
Organism: Lycium ferocissimum
Lineage: Eukaryota; Viridiplantae; Streptophyta; Magnoliopsida; Solanales; Solanaceae
Exons: 2
Source: RefSeq, a predicted model, not a curated record